UGGGUAUAUAGGGCACCUGUUACCUGCCGUAAUUCGUGCAGGAUUAAGUUUGUGAGUAUUAGUGGUCAGUAUUCUAUGCUGUUUAUUGUUUUCGCAUUGACGUAUGUGUCGGAACUGUGGUUGUUCCUCCAUGUACUGACAUCCCUGCUCUCCUGCGCCUGACUCCUACACCUCUCACCGAGACGCACUUUAUCACACAACUACGUAAACUGGUUUGAUGAGGCCUUCACUUUUGAUGUCCCACCAAAUUCCUACCUCAUUGCAGUUGAAAGCUUCCAUGAAAACAAGCAUGAAGAUCUUCGCUGGAAAUACCAAUACUGGGCCGAAAGGUCAUGCUGAAUCUAUAACUGAUUCUACCUACAAUCAGAUUAUUUUAUCCGUUGUUGCCUUUUGAUAAUCUUGAAAGAAAUUCAUGAUUAAAGAUACUUGCAUCUAA
Long non-coding RNA from Oncorhynchus kisutch (coho salmon), 436 nucleotides. RefSeq lists it as uncharacterized. The record is from RefSeq and is a predicted model, not a curated record. NCBI's taxonomy places the organism in Eukaryota, Metazoa, Chordata, Actinopteri, Salmoniformes, Salmonidae. The transcript has 2 exons.